CCUACGGGUGGCAGCAGUGGGGAAUAUUGCACAAUGGGGGAAACCCUGAUGCAGCGACGCCGCGUGAAGGACGAAGUAUUUCGGUAUGUAAACUUCUAUCAGCAGGGAAGAAAAUGACGGUACCUGACCAAGAAGCCCCGGCUAACUACGUGCCAGCAGCCGCGGUAAUACGUAGGGGGCAAGCGUUAUCCGGAUUUACUGGGUGUAAAGGGAGCGUAGACGGCCAUGCAAGUCUGAGGUGAAAACCCGGGGCUCAACCCCGGGACUGCAUUGGAAACUGUGCAGCUGGAGUGUCGGAGAGGCAGUAGGAAUUCCUGGUGUAGCGGUGAAAUGCGUAGAUAUUAGGAGGAACACCAGUGGCGAAGGCGGCUUGCUGGAC
Molecule: ribosomal RNA, 379 nt
Filed under: uncultured bacterium
Lineage: Bacteria
Description: partial 16S ribosomal RNA
Rfam family: Bacterial small subunit ribosomal RNA
Source: RNAcentral